GCCCGCCAGAGAACUAAAAGCAAAACGCUUGAAACUCAAAGGACUUGACGGUGUCCCACAUCAACCUAGAGGAGCCUGUCCAAUAAUCGAUACUCCACGUUAUACCUCACCCCCUCUUGCAUUGCAGCCUAUAUACCGCCGUCGCCAGUUGGCCUGAUGACAGCACGCCAACACAAUAGUCCCACACAAAAACGUCAGGUCAAGGUGUAGCUUAUGAGGGGGUUGAGAUGGGCUACAUUUCCCACCAUAGGAAACUACCAACCGCAACAUGAAAAAGAGCAUUAAGGCGGAUUUAGCAGUAAGGCCGGACAAGAUACGCCACCCUGAA
RNAcentral lists this ribosomal RNA (328 nucleotides) under Pachydactylus tigrinus. RNAcentral's name for it is "partial 12S ribosomal RNA". It matches the Rfam family "Bacterial small subunit ribosomal RNA", at positions 867 to 1366 of the family's 1533-position model. Lineage: Eukaryota; Metazoa; Chordata; Lepidosauria; Squamata; Gekkonidae. The record is from RNAcentral.